RNAcentral lists this ribosomal RNA (350 nucleotides) under uncultured bacterium. Its description in RNAcentral is "partial 16S ribosomal RNA". It matches the Rfam family "Bacterial small subunit ribosomal RNA", at positions 338 to 705 of the family's 1533-position model. The record is from RNAcentral.
CCUACGGGGGGCAGCAGUGGGGAAUAUUGCACAAUGGGGGAAACCCUGAUGCAGCGACGCCGCGUGAGGGAAGAAGUUUCUCGGUUUGUAAAGCUCUUUCAGCAGGGAAGAAAAUGACGGUACCUGACUAAUAAGCCCCGGCUAACUACGUGCCAGCAGCCGCGGUAAUACGUAGGGGGCAAGCGUUAUCCGGAUUUACUGGGUGUAAAGGGUGCGUAGACGGCGCUGAAAGUCCGGGGUGAAAGCCCAUGGCUUAACAAUGGUACUGCUCUGGAAACUGUGGAGCUUGAGUGCGGGAGGGGCAGGCGGAAUUCCGGGUGUAGCGGAGAAAUGGGUAGAUAUAAGGAGGA